This 636-nucleotide ribosomal RNA is filed under the name Cladosporium cladosporioides. RNAcentral's name for it is "eukaryotic LSU rRNA". It matches the Rfam family "Eukaryotic large subunit ribosomal RNA", at positions 24 to 685 of the family's 3401-position model. The record is from RNAcentral. Lineage: Eukaryota; Fungi; Ascomycota; Dothideomycetes; Cladosporiales; Cladosporiaceae.
CCCGCUGAACUUAAGCAUAUCAAUAAGCGGAGGAAAAGAAACCAACAGGGAUUGCUCUAGUAACGGCGAGUGAAGCAGCAAUAGCUCAAAUUUGAAAUCUGGGCGUCUUCGACGUCCGAGUUGUAAUUUGUAGAGGAUGCUUCUGAGUAACCACCGACCUAAGUUCCUUGGAACAGGACGUCAUAGAGGGUGAGAAUCCCGUAUGCGGUCGGAAAGGUGCUCUAUACGUAGCUCCUUCGACGAGUCGAGUUGUUUGGGAAUGCAGCUCUAAAUGGGAGGUAAAUUUCUUCUAAAGCUAAAUAUUGGCCAGAGACCGAUAGCGCACAAGUAGAGUGAUCGAAAGAUGAAAAGCACUUUGGAAAGAGAGUUAAAAAGCACGUGAAAUUGUUAAAAGGGAAGGGAUUGCAACCAGACUUGCUCGCGGUGUUCCGCCGGUCUUCUGACCGGUCUACUCGCCGCGUUGCAGGCCAGCAUCGUCUGGUGCCGCUGGAUAAGACUUGAGGAAUGUAGCUCCCUCGGGAGUGUUAUAGCCUCUUGUGAUGCAGCGAGCGCCGGGCGAGGUCCGCGCUUCNGGCUAGGAUGCUGGUCGUAAUGGUCGUAAUCGCCGUCUGAACANGACAAGANUCUAACAUCUAU